GAAAUGCGAUACGUAAUGUGAAUUGCAGAAUUCAGUGAAUCAUCGAAUCUUUGAACGCAUAUUGCGCUCUCUGGUAUUCCGGAGAGCAUGCUUGUUUGAGUAUCAGUAAACACCUCAACUCCCUUUCUUCUUGAAAUGGAGCUGGACUUGAGUGAUCCCAACGCUUUAUUCAUAAAGCGGCGGGUUACUUGAAAUGCAGGUGCAGCUGGACUUUUCUCUGAGCUAUAAGCAUAUCUAUUUAGUCUGCCUCAAAACAGAUUAUUACCUUUGCUGCAGCUAACAUAAAGGAGAUUAGUUCUUGUGCUGACUGAUGCAGGAUUCACAAAGACCGCUUCGGCUGUCUUUGUAAACUCGAUCUCAAAUCAAGUAAGACUACCCGCUGAACUUAA
This 389-nucleotide unclassified non-coding RNA is filed under the name uncultured fungus. RNAcentral's name for it is "sequence contains ITS1". The stretch from base 1 to 105 matches the Rfam family "5.8S ribosomal RNA", at positions 50 to 154 of the family's 154-position model. Lineage: Eukaryota; Fungi. The record is from RNAcentral.